RNAcentral lists this ribosomal RNA (449 nucleotides) under uncultured bacterium. RNAcentral's name for it is "partial 16S ribosomal RNA". It matches the Rfam family "Bacterial small subunit ribosomal RNA", at positions 354 to 796 of the family's 1533-position model. The record is from RNAcentral.
GUGGGGAAUCUUCCGCAAUGGACGAAAGUCUGACGGAGCAACGCCGCGUGAGUGAUGAAGGUCUUCGGAUUGUAAAGCUCUGUUAAUCGGGACGAAAGAGCCUAGUGUGAAUAAUGCUAGGAAGUGACGGUACCGGAAUAGAAAGCCACGGCUAACUACGUGCCAGCAGCCGCGGUAAUACGUAGGUGGCAAGCGUUGUCCGGAAUUAUUGGGCGUAAAGCGCGCGCAGGCGGAUCUGCCAGUCUGUCUUAAAAGUUCGGGGCUUAACCCCGUGAUGGGAUGGAAACUACAGAUCUAGAGUAUCGGAGAGGAAAGUGGAAUUCCUAGUGUAGCGGUGAAAUGCGUAGAUAUUAGGAAGAACACCAGUGGCGAAGGCGACUUUCUGGACGAAAACUGACGCUGAGGCGCGAAAGCCAGGGAGCGAACGGGAUUAGAUACCCCGGUAGUCC